GUUGUCAUUGGAUCAUGUAAGGCUAUUGAAAGUUAAUUACUUUCUUCACCAUCUAUUUAUGUUUUCAUUGGCUUGUUAUAAUUUUCUUUCAAAUUCUUAAUCCUUCUGGCGACGUCGCUGAAGCUUAAAUUAUUAGAGGUAAGAAAGGUUUUAUUAUAUUAAGACUUAACACUUAGAUGAGUGUGAUUUGUCAAAUGGUACGACUAUGGCUAGAUUCAACAUAAUUCCUGUAGUUUGUCUGCUUUGACAAGUGGGUUCCAUAUUGGGUUUUCUACCAUGCAAUGUCUCACAUAGCUGAAAGAUUUGAAUUUGGAACUAAAGAUUGCCAUUGGAAAGUGUAGAGAAAAAUUCUGCAUUCUAGUACCAAAUGGUCAUAUCUACAAUUUAUCAAAUAAAAAAAUGAGCAAGAGAAAACAAAUAUAAAUUUGUCCAAUGAGGAUUUCUUGGCAGUUGCUUCUGGUUUGCGAAAGUUUGAAAACUAGGGUGUCAUUCCAAUAUGUUCAUAAGAAUUUCGAGAUGCUCCAUUUGGAUCAAGAUUUGCUAAUAAUAAAAGCUAUUGCAAGAUUACAUAUCUCUGUCCUUAUUAACAUGGUUGUUUCCAUUGUUAAUGAUAUCAUUUUCAUUUGAUGUUU
This 632-nucleotide unclassified non-coding RNA is filed under the name Hevea brasiliensis (rubber tree). Lineage: Eukaryota; Viridiplantae; Streptophyta; Magnoliopsida; Malpighiales; Euphorbiaceae. The record is from RNAcentral.